Non-coding RNA from Acanthosepion pharaonis, 108 nucleotides. Lineage: Eukaryota; Metazoa; Mollusca; Cephalopoda; Sepiida; Sepiidae. The record is from the annotation of a GenBank genome assembly.
UGCGGACACAUCGCGUUGAAACACCGGUUUCCGUCCGAUCACCGAAGUUAAAUAACGUUGAUCCUGGUCAGUACCUAGAUGACUGACCGCUUGGGAAUACCAGAUGCU